Acanthosepion pharaonis is the source of this 113-nucleotide non-coding RNA. Lineage: Eukaryota; Metazoa; Mollusca; Cephalopoda; Sepiida; Sepiidae. The record is from the annotation of a GenBank genome assembly.
UUACGGCCAUACCAGAUUGAAUCAGGGGUACUCGUACGAUCACCGAAGUUAAGCAACAUAAAGUCUGGUCAGUACCUAGAUAGGUGCCUGUUUGAGAAUACCAAGUGCUGUAA